CCUACGGGAGGCAGCAGUGAGGAAUAUUGGUCAAUGGUCGGGAGACUGAACCAGCCAAGCCGCGUGAGGGAUGAAGGUACAGAGUAUCGUAAACCUCUUUUGUCAGGGAACAAAGGCGGGGACGUGUCCCCGGAUGAGUGUACCUGAAGAAAAAGCAUCGGCUAACUCAGUGCCAGCAGCCGCGGUAAUACGGAGGAUGCGAGCGUUAUCCGGAUUUAUUGGGUUAAAAGGGUGCGCAGGCGGUCUGUUAAGUCAGCGGUCAAAGCCCGGGGCUCAACCCCGGCCCGCCGUUGAAACUGGCAGUCUUGAGUUGGAGAGAAGUAUGCGGAAUGCGCGGUGUAGCGGUGAAAUGCAUAGAUAUCGCGCAGAACUCCGAUUGCGAAGGCAGCAUGCCGGCUCCACACUGACGCUGAGGCACGAAAGCGUGGGUAUCGAACAGGAUUAGAUACCCCUGUAGUC
This 459-nucleotide ribosomal RNA is filed under the name uncultured bacterium. RNAcentral's name for it is "partial 16S ribosomal RNA". It matches the Rfam family "Bacterial small subunit ribosomal RNA", at positions 338 to 795 of the family's 1533-position model. The record is from RNAcentral.